CUAGAACUGACUAUGAGA
RNAcentral lists this unclassified non-coding RNA (18 nucleotides) under Mus musculus (house mouse). RNAcentral describes it as "oocyte_clustered_small_RNA8862". The record is from RNAcentral. Lineage: Eukaryota; Metazoa; Chordata; Mammalia; Rodentia; Muridae.